This is a long non-coding RNA of Dendroctonus ponderosae (mountain pine beetle), 580 nucleotides long. RefSeq lists it as uncharacterized. Lineage: Eukaryota; Metazoa; Arthropoda; Insecta; Coleoptera; Curculionidae. The record is from RefSeq and is a predicted model, not a curated record. The transcript is spliced from 3 exons.
UUUCUAUAUAAGCCUUGUUCUAUGGAAAGCGGCUGAAGACUUCGAGAUAGCUGGAAGGCACUCCAACGAAGAGCUACGAAAUCUUGUAAAUUACACACCUGAAGAUCUGGGACCCAGGAAAAAAAGGCCCAGACACCAGCUAGCCCAAUAGAGCAACAGGUAGCAAACGGCGUAAGCUGUAAGUGAGGUUAUGUAGAGAUAGUAGUAAUGACAGAUCACAGUGGUACAUGGGGGGCUCACUCAUAUUGACUUGCGCGGAACCAAGUUUUUGGUCUGAGGGUUUCGCCACCUUGCUUCGCCCACGCGAAACAGACCUCAAUAUGACGAGUACAGGACAGUUUUCAGUUACGAGUGACAAGGCGUCCACAAAGGCGUCUAAUCGAUGUAAUCGAUAGCAUUGAUGUAAACAACCUUAGUGCCGGCAUUGUUUCUUGCUUUCUACAAGUGUUUUAUGAAAUUUAUUAAAAAAUGAGUUCAAUUCUGCAACGUUGCUGUGUACCUCAGUGCGAUGAUACAUCUUCAAAGCGGUGUGCACUUCCUAGAAAUGAAAAGUUGAGAAGCAUUUGGAUCAGGCGGACUG